AUAUAUAUCCUGUGUGCUGAGAUCCUUUUUAAUUUGAGGUUCCCAACCUGAGACAUGUAGGUGAACCGAAAAGAUGAGAUAGUUCCUGUCAGUGACCAGUUAAAUGGGUGUUAAAAAUAAGAAAGUCUCAUUGAUUCUAUUAGAGGAUGGAGCUGAAGCUGUUCAUCGUCCUGAUGCUCUACUGGAACCUGCACACCACUUAUGGUAGUAAGUAUAUUUACAUUUAUAUUUAUUCAUUUAGUAGAUGCUACAUGUUAUCCAAGGUGACUUACAAAUGAGGAAAUACAAGCAAAGUCUCAGAUAUAUUCACACCACUGACAGUUACACACAUAUUUUUACAUACUUUUAUGCAUUUUUAUACACAGUCCUAUGUUAUCCAGGUUUAAAGAGCAUUGUUAAAUGCUUAAACACAAAUAUGUAUACGGCAGGUCAUACUAGGAUCCUUUAGUGUUAGGACUGAUUAAAAUGUUAACUCUAGGACACUCUGACCAGCCUGUAGACAUUUAAUAUGCUGUAAUUAAAGUUGUUUUCAUAUCUUUUAGGUUGAUCAGCCUGGAAUAAAGUGGUCUGUUUAAAUGCUGGGAGUUGAGAAUACUUAAUGUACAUAAUGUGCGUGUGCUAAUGGCCACACCAUUUACACAGCAAUAUUAAAAUUUCACUGCGGUUUAAACCAAGCAUGAACUUAAAAUAUAGCUAAUUCAAUGUUUUUUCUCAUAAUAACACAAAUGUGAUAUUUUCACAUAAUUCUCUCGUAAUGCAACACUUUCAGUUUGUUACGAAGCGUAGACGGAGACAAGCGCGGGCGAGCGGAGAGAUGACGUGAGAAAGAAUCCAGAACGAGAAUCGAGUCGGGACCGAACAGGUAAGCUGUGUAUCAGGGACGUAGGCAAAAGCGUAGUGAGAGACGAGCGUGAAGUCGAGCACCAGGGAAAACAGUUCUAAUGAAAUCGGCUUGGUAAACAAACAGAGACGAGGCUGCUGAGCAGUUACUUCGCACGCGGCUAAUGCUAGGGAGGCCCUUAUAUAACCUCAAGUGUUUGCAGGUGUUUGUGAUUAGAACUCUGGCGAACUCGAGCACGGGUAUGACUGGGAAGUGUAGUCCUCCUCCGCCACGUCCCUGGGCGGCGCUACACUUUGUGAGCUGCCGCGCCGAUUUCGCCGUGUCGUAACACAGAGACAUACCAUGUGGAGGUUACAGAGCAAAACAUUGCUGUCCUAAAGUGUGGCAAACAGACCAAAGGUAAUGUGACCUGGAGCAGAGACGUUGACGGAAACAGGCUGGACAUUAUCACCGUCCAAGGUGGAAAAGUGAUCAAACACAUCAGAGACCCACAAAGACGUUACAACAUAGGAGCAAGUCUAAUCCUGAUCAUAUUGAGAGUCUCGCAGUCGGACGCUGGUCAAUAUCACUGCAUGAGGAGCACAGUGGAGCUCAAUGUGAUAGCGAAAAGUGGAGUGAGUGUGUGAGACACUGCUGAUGAUGGCUGGUGUUGCUGUAGCUCUGUUGGUCUUGGCUGCAGUAGCUGCAGGAAGACUGAUCCACCUCCACGCCUGGCAGGCGGGUCGGACCGCAGGAAGAGACUCGGUCUGGCUCGGCUUGGAUUAGAAAAAUAUUCCUUUACGCUGCAUUAACAGCAGCUCUUGUUCUGAUCAUGUCUGGAGACUCUUCAACUGUCUGUCAUUAGUUAUGGAUCGCUAAACAUUGCUGGACAGAGCAUUUGUUCUGGUUUAACAGUUAGUGUCUGGCAUAAGUAUUUAAAAAAAUGGGAUUAAAAAAUUUUAAUAAAU
Ictalurus furcatus (blue catfish) is the source of this 1788-nucleotide long non-coding RNA. RefSeq lists it as uncharacterized. The transcript is spliced from 3 exons. The record is from RefSeq and is a predicted model, not a curated record. NCBI's taxonomy places the organism in Eukaryota, Metazoa, Chordata, Actinopteri, Siluriformes, Ictaluridae.